GCCAUGCCGCGUGUGUGAAGAAGGCKUUCGGGUUGUAAAGCACUUUCAGUGGGGAAGAAGGCUUUUGGGUUAAUAACCCAGAAGAAGGACAUCACCCACAGAAGAAGCACCGGCUAACUCCGUGCCAGCAGCCGCGGUAAUACGGAGGGUGCAAGCGUUAAUCGGAAUUACUGGGCGUAAAGCGCGCGUAGGUGGCCUGAUAAGCCGGUUGUGAAAGCCCCGGGCUCAACCUGGGAACGGCAUCCGGAACUGUCAGGCUAGAGUGCAGGAGAGGAAGGUAGAAUUCCCGGUGUAGCGGUGAAAUGCGUAGAGAUCGGGAGGAAUACCAGUGGCGAAGGCGGCCUUCUGGACUGACACUGACACUGAGGUGCGAAAGCGUGGGUAGCAAACAGGAUUAGAUACCCUGGUAGUCCACGCCGUAAACGAUGUCGACUAGCCGUUGGGUUCCUUGAGGACUUAGUGGCGCAGUUAACGCGAUAAGUCGACCGCCUGGGGAGUACGGCCGCAAGGUUA
This 513-nucleotide ribosomal RNA is filed under the name uncultured bacterium. RNAcentral describes it as "bacterial SSU rRNA". It matches the Rfam family "Bacterial small subunit ribosomal RNA", at positions 391 to 896 of the family's 1533-position model. The record is from RNAcentral.